GGCUUGGUAGUCUAGUGGUUUAUGAUUCCCGCUUUGGGCUUGUCUCGGCUUACGAGAUAGACAUUGCGGGGGGUCCCGGGUUCAACUCCCGGCCAAGCCC
This is a non-coding RNA of Hysterangium stoloniferum, 100 nucleotides long. NCBI's taxonomy places the organism in Eukaryota, Fungi, Basidiomycota, Agaricomycetes, Hysterangiales, Hysterangiaceae. The record is from the annotation of a GenBank genome assembly.